GUGGCGAACGGGUGAGUAACACGUGAGCAAUCUGCCCCUGACUCUGGGAUAAGCGCUGGAAACGGCGUCUAAUACCGGAUACGAGCUGCGAAGGCAUCUUCAGCAGCUGGAAAGAAUUUCGGUCAGGGAUGAGCUCGCGGCCUAUCAGCUUGUUGGUGAGGUAACGGCUCACCAAGGCGUCGACGGGUAGCCGGCCUGAGAGGGUGACCGGCCACACUGGGACUGAGACACGGCCCAGACUCCUACGGGAGGCAGCAGUGGGGAAUAUUGCACAAUGGGCGAAAGCCUGAUGCAGCAACGCCGCGUGAGGGACGACGGCCUUCGGGUUGUAAACCUCUUUUAGCAGGAAAGAAGCGAAAGUGACGGUACCUGCAGAAAAAGCGCCGGCUAACUACGUGCCAGCAGCCGCGGUAAUACGUAGGGCGCAAGCGUUAUCCGGAAUUAUUGGGCGUAAAGAGCUCGUAGGCGGUCUGUCGCGUCUGCUGUGAAAACCCGAGGCUCAACCUCGGGCCUGCAGUGGGUACGGGCAGACUAGAGUGCGGUAGGGGAGAUUGGAAUUCCUGGUGUAGCGGUGGAAUGCGCAGAUAUCAGGAGGAACACCGAUGGCGAAGGCAGAUCUCUGGGCCGUAACUGACGCUGAGGAGCGAAAGGGUGGGGAGCAAACAGGCUUAGAUACCCUGGUAGUCCAC
This 689-nucleotide ribosomal RNA is filed under the name uncultured Actinobacteridae bacterium. Its description in RNAcentral is "bacterial SSU rRNA". It matches the Rfam family "Bacterial small subunit ribosomal RNA", at positions 95 to 798 of the family's 1533-position model. Lineage: Bacteria; Bacillati; Actinomycetota; Actinomycetes. The record is from RNAcentral.